UGGGGAAUAUUCGGCAAUGGGCGCAAGCCUGACCGAGCCAUGCCGCGUGAGUGAUGACGGCCUUAGGGUUGUAAAGCUCUUUCACCGGGGACGAUAAUGACGGUACCCGGAGAAGAAGCCCCGGCUAACUUCGUGCCAGCAGCCGCGGUAAUACGAAGGGGGCUAGCGUUGUUCGGAAUUACUGGGCGUAAAGCGCACGUAGGCGGCUUGGUAAGUCGGGGGUGAAAUCCCGGGGCUCAACCCCGGAACGGCCCUCGAUACUGUCUGGCUGGAGUCCGGAAGAGGUGAGUGGAAUUCCGAGUGUAGAGGUGAAAUUCGUAGAUAUUCGGAGGAACACCAGUGGCGAAGGCGGCUCACUGGUCCGGUACUGACGCUGAGGUGCGAAAGCGUGGGGAGCAAACAGGAUUAGAUACCCCCGUAGUCC
RNAcentral lists this ribosomal RNA (424 nucleotides) under uncultured prokaryote. Its description in RNAcentral is "bacterial SSU rRNA". It matches the Rfam family "Bacterial small subunit ribosomal RNA", at positions 355 to 796 of the family's 1533-position model. The record is from RNAcentral.